AUUAGGACUAUGAAAAAAAUGAGUAAAUACAUUUUUGUCAUAAAGAGAGGAAGUGGAAGGUGAAAACUUCUUGGCAAAAGUAUUGAAGCUGUUUUGGAGUCUAUUAUUUUUAAGAGAUAUAAGUUAUUACUUAUAUAAUUAGGGUGGUACCGCGGAAAUGCUUUCGUCCCUUAA
Molecule: non-coding RNA, 174 nt
Filed under: Clostridium acetireducens
Lineage: Bacteria; Bacillati; Bacillota; Clostridia; Eubacteriales; Clostridiaceae
Description: T-box sequence
Rfam family: T-box leader
About the family: Uncharged tRNA acts as the effector for transcription antitermination of genes in the T-box leader family.
Source: RNAcentral